This 406-nucleotide ribosomal RNA is filed under the name uncultured bacterium. RNAcentral describes it as "bacterial SSU rRNA". It matches the Rfam family "Bacterial small subunit ribosomal RNA", at positions 355 to 775 of the family's 1533-position model. The record is from RNAcentral.
UGGGGAAUAUUGGGCAAUGGGGGAAACCCUUACCCAGCAACGCCGCGUGAGAGAAGAAGGUUUUCGGAUUGUAAAUCUCUGUCCUUGGGGGCGAAGGAAGUGACGGUACCCAGGGAGGAAGCCCCGGCUAACUACGUGCCAGCAGCCGCGGUAAUACGUAGGGGGCGAGCGUUGUCCGGAAUUAUUGGGCGUAAAGGGCGUGUAGACGGUCAUAUAAGUUACAGGUGAAAGCCCAUUUUUCAAGGAUGGAACUGCCUGUAAGACUGUAAGACUUGAGUGCAGGAGAGGGAAGCGGAAUUCCAAGUGUAGCGGUGAAAUGCGUAGAUAUUUGGAGGAACACCAGUGGCGAAGGCGGCUUUCUGGACUGCAACUGACGUUGAGGCGCGAAAGCGUGGGGAGCGAACAG